CAGGGCCGCGGGUGCGGAGCAACGGGUCUGCGCGUGAUCUGAAGGCGGGACUCAGCGGUCUCGCGGCAGGGCCUUGCAUAUUGGCUUCAGGACACUCGAUAUUGGUUGGCUGAAGACCUACAGAUGCUCGCCUCAAUUCUGAUCUCUAGGUUAUGCCUGCCUGUGGCAGCAUGGAAACAGCAGUACCACGAGGGGAAACACGUCUCCUUCAAAUACAAAACUAAGUCAGAAGACUAACACUUAGUGAGGUGACAUACUCUCGGCACCAUAUGUAUUCUCACCUGUGGUGCUUUUUAUAAAACUUGAUUAAAUUAGUCCUUAAGAGAAAAUGUAACUCUCUCCUGACACAUUUGCAAGAAGACCAAAAAAACAAAAAACAAAAAAAACAAACCACAAAAAUGAUUUAUCAGCACCAAGGAGCUUAAAAAUAAAAAGCAACCCGAACCCUGGACUCAGACCCAGCCCAACCCAGACACUGGAUUCAUUAGUUCUGAAAUGGAGCCCAGGAACCUGGUUUUUAUAACAGCCGUUUCUGUUGGUGUAAACAAUAACACAAAUGGGGCCACUUUAAAAUGGAACUGGCACUGCCACGUCAGGGGAACUGCUUUGCAGGUCUUAUGUCCCAAAUCUUUGGAAUGUUGAACAGGGCAAAAUGUCCUUUGGCCUGGAUCUAAGCAACGCUGUGCCUUGCAAAAGAACUGUUUGCAAAGAUAACAAGAAAGCUAUUGUUAUACUACUACACUGCUGACUUGCCGGACUGAAAAAA
This is a long non-coding RNA of Myotis davidii, 766 nucleotides long. RefSeq lists it as uncharacterized. NCBI's taxonomy places the organism in Eukaryota, Metazoa, Chordata, Mammalia, Chiroptera, Vespertilionidae. The record is from RefSeq and is a predicted model, not a curated record. The transcript has 2 exons.